UGGGGAAUAUUGGACAAUGGGCGCAAGCCUGAUCCAGCCAUGCCGCGUGGGUGAUGAAGGCCCUAGGGUUGUAAAGCCCUUUCGGCGGGGAAGAUAAUGACGGUACCCGCAGAAGAAGCCCCGGCUAACUUCGUGCCAGCAGCCGCGGUAAUACGAAGGGGGCUAGCGUUGCUCGGAAUCACUGGGCGUAAAGCGCACGUAGGCGGAUUGCUAAGUCAGGGGUGAAAUCCUGGAGCUCAACUCCAGAACUGCCUUUGAUACUGGCGAUCUCGAGUCCGGGAGAGGUGAGUGGAACUGCGAGUGUAGAGGUGAAAUUCGUAGAUAUUCGCAAGAACACCAGUGGCGAAGGCGGCUCACUGGCCCGGUACUGACGCUGAGGUGCGAAAGCGUGGGGAGCAAACAGG
RNAcentral lists this ribosomal RNA (404 nucleotides) under Acidobacteriota bacterium. Its description in RNAcentral is "Acidobacteria bacterium partial 16S ribosomal RNA". It matches the Rfam family "Bacterial small subunit ribosomal RNA", at positions 355 to 776 of the family's 1533-position model. The record is from RNAcentral. Lineage: Bacteria; Pseudomonadati; Acidobacteriota. RNAcentral also lists the same sequence under 1 other name.